Molecule: ribosomal RNA, 497 nt
Filed under: uncultured bacterium
Lineage: Bacteria
Description: partial 16S ribosomal RNA
Rfam family: Bacterial small subunit ribosomal RNA
Source: RNAcentral
GAUGAACGCUGGCGGCGUGCCUAAUACAUGCAAGUCGAGCGAACAGACGAGGAGCUUGCUCCUCUGACGUUAGCGGCGGACGGGUGAGUAACACGGGGAUAACCUACCUAUAAGACUGGGAUAAUUUCGGGAAACCGGAGCUAAUACCGGAUAAUUUAUUGAACCGCAUUGUUCAAUAGUUAAAGACGGUUUUGCUGUCACUUAUAGAUGGAUCCGCGCCGCAUUAGCUAGUGGGCAAGGUAACGGCUUACCCAGGCAACGAUGCGUAGCCGACCUGAGAGGGUGGUCGGACACCCUGGCAGUGAGACACGGUACAGACUCCGACAGGAAGAAGCAGUAGGGAAUCUUCCGCAAUGGGGGAGAGCCUGACGGAGCAACGCCGCGUGAGUGAUGAAGGUCUUAGGAUCGUAAAACUCUGUUAUUAGGGAAGAACAAAUGUGUAAGUAACUAUGCACGUAUUGACGGUACCUAGUCAGAAAGCCACGGCUAACUACGUG